Molecule: small nucleolar RNA, 203 nt
Filed under: Pterocles gutturalis (yellow-throated sandgrouse)
Lineage: Eukaryota; Metazoa; Chordata; Aves; Pterocliformes; Pteroclidae
Description: Small nucleolar RNA SNORA74
Rfam family: Small nucleolar RNA SNORA74
About the family: U19 belongs to the H/ACA class of snoRNAs. snoRNAs bind a number of proteins (including dyskerin, Gar1p and Nop10p in the case of the H/ACA class) to form snoRNP complexes.
Source: Rfam by way of RNAcentral
UCCAGUGGUAGUCAGCUGUCCAGAGCAGUACUGUGCCUGUGAUAGUGUUACACUGCUGGGAGAUAAAGAUCAGUCAUUCCUUCUGGCUGCUGUUGUCACCGUUUUGGAGGCAACUCAUGCCAAAAAGAAGUGGCACUGUGCUUCCCUGAAAGUGCGCUAAAGAAUUGCUUUCCCUCUUCAGUGCUAGUCUGGAAGCAUACAUA